Molecule: long non-coding RNA, 1284 nt
Organism: Biomphalaria glabrata
Lineage: Eukaryota; Metazoa; Mollusca; Gastropoda; Planorbidae
Exons: 2
Source: RefSeq, a predicted model, not a curated record
UCAAACGGAACCUCUGUGGCAAGAAGUUGAAUCAGGCUGACAUAGGCUACGCGCCUUCUAAACGAAAUUGCAACUCUUCAUAUAGCAGGCGGAGAGGGACGAAACCAAUGUGUUGUAAUCGCCUCACAGAAGACGAGCAUCUAGAUUCAAUGCUUCAACUUCGUGUCUCAUCAAUGCAGUGGUGUAAAGAACUUAGGUUACUUCUUACUGUAAACAAAUGGCUCGAUGUGGGUGAAUACGACACCACACUGUACUAAGGGUAUGAUUCUGAUAACGUUUCUGAGAUCUAAACGGGAUGGACAAACAGGCCACACAAAACUAACAGAGCCUUUUCCCCUUUCGGGGGCCGCUUAAAAUGGAAAUCUCGAUUUGGAUUUUUCUACAGACAUUUUACAUGAAGUAUCAAUUCCUAGUUUUAGGCCUGUAUUAGUUCUCAGACAUUUCAUAAAUCAAACACACAAGGUUCAGAAUGUUUCAAAGUAAAAGUGUGCACAAAACCAACUCUCUAUAAAAUGGCAGUAAGUUUGGUGGACAUUCUUAACCCCAACAUUUUCUAGUAAAUAACCUUUUUUUUUUAAAGAGACUGUCUGUUGUAUGUUAGCAUUCAAUGAAUGGAAAUGGACCCAGUAUUUGUUUGCACUAGCAAUAGUUAAAACAUUCCAUUGAAGAAAUGCUGUGGCUCAAACAUACAAUAAACAAGUAAAACAUAAACAGAUACUUAAAAAAAAACCAACCUUAUACAAAGUGUAGUUCUAUCAGUUAGCUUGGAUCAGUCAUGUAAUUCAAUUUGUAAUAGAUCUAGACUAACAACAAUAAAUAUCUAUGCAAUUAGAGUAUUCUACAAAUUAUUUUUGUUUAGCACUGUAUCAUGCAUUUAGCUUUCUCAAUACGCUAUCACCCUAUCACUAUCUUAUGAGAAUAGAAGAUUAUAUAAUUAUAUGUUUUUUGUGUCAAAUUUACUUUAAAGCAUCAACCUGUAAUUCAGCUUAAACUUCCACUUUAGUCAAGUACAAUCAAUAGUUAAUUAACUAAUUGGUUAUUUUUUUUAUAUUGAUUCUUGUGUUGUCAAGUAAAAUAAUUGUGCAAAAUUUCAGCUUGAUCCGAGAUUGGGUAAUGGAGAAAUAACAUGUACAAACGUUUGACCAAACAGAGAUGAUAUAAGCUUUGUAAGAAUAUGACAAACAGGCUUCACCUUUAGAGGUUUAGGCCAGCAACAGUAAGAGAAAAGAAACUUUUUUUCCAGAAAAUUUCAUCCAACAUUUUUUAUAUACAUCUUAAUAUAUA